This 1576-nucleotide long non-coding RNA is filed under the name Homo sapiens (human). RNAcentral's name for it is "PREDICTED lncRNA (TCONS_00005054)". Lineage: Eukaryota; Metazoa; Chordata; Mammalia; Primates; Hominidae. The record is from RNAcentral.
AAGAGUAAAGUACUUCCGCUUCCUUAGGUGGAGCUGGAAAGGUGGAGGCGGAAGUGACUGAUCAAUUCAGGGGCGUGGGGUUCGUUUAGGUUUUGCCCUGUGUAUGACCUCGUUUGGAGCCAUGAAACCAGGGCACUGAAGAUAUUAUUUAUAUUCAGAGGCUAUGUUGGUUUGGAGAAGGAAAGGUGGCUUUUCUACAAUAUAAAGAUGGAAAUGGGAAGAAGAUGUUCAUUGCAAAUUAAGGAAGCUCUUCCACGAGUUCACGAAUGGAAAUAACAUCAAGAGUUUUUCAUCUUCUUAGUGUGCAAGAUAAAUAUCAAGGAGUGCAAUUCCUGGAUUUAUGAUGUCUGAGGAAUAGUCUUAGUGGAUUAUCCCAAACUUGACACAUUUUUUGCAAAAUGCUAUACAAAAAGAAGAUACAUGCGAUUAUGACAAGAUUCUCCACUUGGUGUGACCAGUCUCAUACAACCCAAGGCUGUGUGUCCAAAGGCAACUGUACUGAUCUUGACAAUAAUCAAAAGGUAGCCAGGUGCAUCGGGGAAAGCACUGACAUUGGAGUCAGACAGACUGAAGUUCAUAUCUGAUUCUGCUAUAUGACAACGUGUGGGCUAUGUGGCUAACUUCUCAGAGCUUCAGUUUUCUCAAGGGCAAAAUGAAAAUAAUAGAAAUAAUAGAAUCCACCUCACAGGGCUGUGGUGAGAAUUGGAGAUGAAGCACAUACAGCAUAUUACAUCAACUAAACACAUGCUAAGCACAUGACAGAAUUGCUCUGUUGAAGUUUUGCAAGGUCAAAUGACUCACUUUGUCUAAUGGAACGGGAACGAACAAUUUUUUUGUGUCACGUUUGAACAGAUACCUUUGAGAAGUUUAUGAUUCUCCAAGUUCUCUUUCUCCUACUGUGGCACCUACUGACAAGAUAAAUGUGUAGAGGUUCCUGAGUCUAGGGGCACUGGAACCAGCUGACUGAUCUAUGGAAGUUCCCUUGGUCUCCAUUUGUUUAGAAAAGGGACUGGUCAAAGGCUGACGUUUGCUUUUGGUGACAUUGCAUUAAUUGUCUCCCAUGAGACUGCUAGGGUGCUGAAGGGAUGAAGAAACUGAGGCCCACAGAAGGUGGGUGAUACCUGCAAAAUCACAAGCUUUCAUGGUGAAAGAAGAGGGCAAAACUCAACCCGUCUCUUUAGACUUGGGAAGAAUAUGAAAGGACCAGGAGGGACACCUUUCCUAAUAACCUAGCUGAUGGUUCACUUAUUAGGCUGGAAAGCUGAAAAAUGACAUUCCCAGACUCCAUUGAAAUUAGAUUUCCAGAGAGUUGUCUCACUAAGCCCAAAUUUGUCUAACUGGCCUUAUUUCCCUGGAGUAUAUCCUGGAAGUUUCCAUUCAAGCCAAUUUAAGUUACUUUAAAUUAGGAAAGGCAGAAAACAAAAGCCCAAACCUUUGUAAAGGAGGAGGAUUUGCUACAUUGUUCUCAAUUCAUCACAGAAGAGGAUGAAACUGAGUGAUUACACUUGCUGGAGAGAAAAAAAGUCCUUCCCCCGCUCACCCCAAAUAAAGCAUUAACUUUAUGUUAAUCCAUGAA